RNAcentral lists this long non-coding RNA (956 nucleotides) under Mus pahari (shrew mouse). RNAcentral's name for it is "lncRNA (MGP_PahariEiJ_G0004663.1)". Lineage: Eukaryota; Metazoa; Chordata; Mammalia; Rodentia; Muridae. The record is from RNAcentral.
AGAAUUCAGAGCCGGCUCUGUCUGGGGCGGCCCAGGCCUCAGCCCCAGCAUUCCUGACCCCCUCCCCCCAAGCCUGGGACAGCUGCUCCGGAACUCAGCAACUGGCUAGGGAUCGAAUCCCAAUUCAGCUUUUCCAGAGGCUCAGCCGUUUCUCCAUGAUGACACAGAAGUACAGCGCUCUCAGCGCUCUCAGGUCCUUACCUCAUAAUCCACAUGCAAUUGGAUUACAGAGCGUUUAUGGGACAUAAGAGAAACAAGAGACCAAGACCCUUGAACCUCCUGCAGAGAUGCUCCCUGCAGUCGCAUCCUCCAGGGUGUCUCUCCUUGUGUCUUUUUGCUACAGCUGGUUUUUCAGGGCUGGGGAUGGAACUCUGGGCCUCCUGCAUGUUGAGGAAGGCAGACCAACCCUGAGUAUGGUCUCUCUCUGCUCCCUGGAAGUGGAUGCAAUAGGGCCUGCUGCUUCCCACUCCUGUAGCCACCUACCCUGUCUGCACCAUCACCCCUUCCUCCAUUAAGUUGUUUUGGGGGGGAGGUGUUUUGUCACAGCAAUAAGAAAAGUAACCAUCAGGGCAUGGUGGUGCACACUUUUAUUUAGUCCCAACACGUGGGAGGCAGAGGCAAUCUGUGAGUUCAAAGCCAGCUUGGUCUACAGAAUGAGUUCCGGGCCAGGCAGAGACCUUGUGACCCAAAUGGCAAAAUAAAAUACAUCAUUAAUACCUAACUAGAAUGUGACUGGGUUGCUAAAAGGUCUCCUUUCUAAUUCUUGCUCUCCACUGGGCUAGAGCUAUAAUCUUAAAUCCUUUACCUACAGAAAGCUUAGAGCUGGGAGACAGGAGAGAAAUGGAGAUUUGAGGGGUUGGGGAUUUAGCUCAGUGGUAGAGUGUUUGCCUAGCAAGUGCAAGGCCCUGGGUUUGGUCCUCAGCUCUGAAAAAAAAAAGACAAAAUAACAAGAAAUG